UAUAUAAAAGGAUAGUGGGCAGGGUUAGCAGGGGCCUGUGAAAAGAGGGGUUGUGAGGGAGGAAAGAGCCCUUUCAGGAGAAGGAGGCUGUUGUUUUGUGAAUUAGAUGAGGAAACAAGAUGAACAAGAUCUGUUAACUCAGGAAGCGGGAGAGAGAGAGAGAGAGAGAGAGAGAGAGAGAAAGAGAGAGAGAGAGAAGGGAGGGGAAGAAAGACAGAGGUUAAGAGCGAGUGGAGGAGAGAGAAAGAGAAAAAAAGAAGGGAGAGGAAGAGAGAAAGAAGGAAGGGUGUGGGUCAGGCACGAGCCUGUCAGCAGCCUGAGGGGGUCAGCCUGAAGUGGCCACGGUGGCAGCAGCAGCAAGGAAGGGCCCAGUCAACCACUGCUGCUGUUUGGGACUACCGAGGCCAUGGGUGGAGGGAGGCAAUCAGGCAGGGACAGGCCCGGGCCUGUCAGUGGCUUGAGGGAAACAGCGGCCAUGGCCGUGGUGGCAGAGAAGAAGGGCCUGGUCAACCACUGCUGCUGCUGUUGCUGCUGCUUCUGUAGGGAGGAGGAGCAGGAGUGGGGCUUGGGUGAAGGUGGGGAGGUCUCUGGAGAUAGGGGGCUGCAGCUUGGCCAAUAGGCAUCAGCAGCACUGCAGCCCCGACCAAGAGGGGUGAGGGGGAUGGAAGCAAUUGGAUGGAGGAGGAGCAGGAGUGCGGCUCAGAUGAGGGUGGAGAUCUCUCUGAGAAUGAUGUCUGAGGUGGCUUGCUGACAGGUGGCCCAGGAGACAGUAUGGCUGAAAUGAAUUGAGAAAUUGGCCCUGAGCGAAGAAGCAAGAAUCCAAGGGAAGGACAGAUGAAAGCGUGAGCAUACACAAGGAGCAGGAGAAAAGAAACCCAGGGUGAAAGGGACAAAGAAAAAGGACUCGAUGAAAAGGUUUACACAACAAUUAGGAGGGAGAUGAUACAAGGCGAAAUUAUCAUGAUCAUCCUGAAUAUAUCACUUUUUAACAAAAAGGUCUCAAAGUGGCUAUAGCAAGAGGAACAGUGAAGAAGCCAUUGUGCUGGGGAGUCAGGAAAUGGAGGGCAAAGAAGCCAAGUGGAUGUAGGUAUGAAUUUCUCAGACUGAUUUAUAACUUGCCAAAUCUUUGGCUUCAGGGCACUUGUAACAUUAUUAGUAAGUUAGUUUCAAAGCAAAUAUGAGAGUUAAUUUCUAUAUUUUGAUAGCAGCCGAACAACUUCCCUCUUUAGGCAGAUAUCCAUGGAAUUUUCUUUGAGUAGCUGCAGACUUUUGACACAAGAAUAAUACCUUUACUUCUGUUUCUCUCUGCAACUCAAAAUUAGUUCUAGGUCACAACAAAGUGGGAUGAAUAACUGGGGGAGCUGGGAUAAAAACUGUGCCUCUCUAAGCAGAAACCCACGGAUAAUUACUAGAGAACAGAAUUGCACGUAGCAAUGGACUUAAUUUUGUAUCCAGAUCUAUUCCAUCUCUUGUAGUUAAUAUUAAAGCUUUUCAAGGUCAGGAAUGACAGACUGGUAAUGAUGAGCCUGAGGAAGGCUUAUGUUAAACUUGUCCUCAGUGCUCAGGUUAAUCUUUUCAUUUGUGUUUUCCUCAUAAAUAAAUACAUAAAAAGACA
Hemicordylus capensis (graceful crag lizard) is the source of this 1615-nucleotide long non-coding RNA. RefSeq lists it as uncharacterized. The transcript has 2 exons. NCBI's taxonomy places the organism in Eukaryota, Metazoa, Chordata, Lepidosauria, Squamata, Cordylidae. The record is from RefSeq and is a predicted model, not a curated record.